CCUACGGGAGGCAGCAGUGGGGGAUAUUGCACAAUGGGGGGAACCCUGAUGCAGCGACGCCGCGUGGGUGAAGAAGCGCCUCGGCGCGUAAAGCCCUGUCAGCAGGGAAGAAAAUGACGGUACCUGAAGAAGAAGCCCCGGCUAACUACGUGCCAGCAGCCGCGGUAAUACGUAGGGGGCAAGCGUUAUCCGGAUUUACUGGGUGUAAAGGGGGCGCAGACGGCGAUGCAAGCCAGGAGUGAAAGCCCGGGGCCCAACCCCGGCCGGCCGUUGAAACGGGCGUGCUCGAGUUGGAGAGAAGUAUGCGGAAUUCGUGGUGUAGCGGUGAAAUGCAUAGAUAUCACGAAGAACCCCGAUUGCGAAGGCAGCAUACCGGCUCCACACUGACGCUGAGGCACGAAAGCGUGGGUAUCGAACAGGAUUAGAUACCCUGGUAGUC
This 439-nucleotide ribosomal RNA is filed under the name uncultured bacterium. RNAcentral describes it as "partial 16S ribosomal RNA". It matches the Rfam family "Bacterial small subunit ribosomal RNA", at positions 338 to 795 of the family's 1533-position model. The record is from RNAcentral.